This 506-nucleotide ribosomal RNA is filed under the name uncultured bacterium. RNAcentral's name for it is "bacterial SSU rRNA". It matches the Rfam family "Bacterial small subunit ribosomal RNA", at positions 9 to 526 of the family's 1533-position model. The record is from RNAcentral.
GAGUUUGAUCCUGGCUCAGGAUGAACGCUGGCGGCGUGCCUAACACAUGCAAGUCGAACGGAAUUUACAUGAAGCCUAGCGAUUGUAAAUUUAGUGGCGGACGGGUGAGUAACGCGUGGGUAACCUGCCUUGUACUGGGGGACAACAGUUGGAAACGACUGCUAAUACCGCAUAAGCGCACAGCUUCGCAUGAAGCAGUGUGAAAAACUCCGGUGGUACAAGAUGGACCCGCGUCUGAUUAGCUGGUUGGUGAGGUAACGGCCCACCAAGGCGACGAUCAGUAGCCGGCCUGAGAGGGUGAACGGCCACAUUGGGACUGAGACACGGCCCAAACUCCUACGGGAGGCAGCAGUGGGGAAUAUUGCACAAUGGGGGAAACCCUGAUGCAGCAACGCCGCGUGAGUGAAGAAGUAUUUCGGUAUGUAAAGCUCUAUCAGCAGGAAAGAAAAUGACGGUACCUGACUAAGAAGCCCCGGCUAACUACGUGCCAGCAGCCGCGGUAAUAC